This 558-nucleotide ribosomal RNA is filed under the name uncultured bacterium. RNAcentral describes it as "partial 16S ribosomal RNA". It matches the Rfam family "Bacterial small subunit ribosomal RNA", at positions 355 to 905 of the family's 1533-position model. The record is from RNAcentral.
UGGGGAAUUUUGGACAAUGGGCGAAAGCCUGAUCCAGCAAUGCCGCGUGUGUGAAGAAGGCCUUCGGGUUGUAAAGCACUUUUGUCCGGAAAGAAAUCCUUGGCUCUAAUACAGUCGGGGGAUGACGGUACCGGAAGAAUAAGCACCGGCUAACUACGUGCCAGCAGCCGCGGUAAUACGUAGGGUGCAAGCGUUAAUCGGAAUUACUGGGCGUAAAGCGUGCGCAGGCGGUUUGCUAAGACCGAUGUGAAAUCCCCGGGCUCAACCUGGGAACUGCAUUGGUGACUGGCAGGCUAGAGUAUGGCAGAGGGGGGUAGAAUUCCACGUGUAGCAGUGAAAUGCGUAGAGAUGUGGAGGAAUACCGAUGGCGAAGGCAGCCCCCUGGGCCAAUACUGACGCUCAUGCACGAAAGCGUGGGGAGCAAACAGGAUUAGAUACCCUGGUAGUCCACGCCCUAAACGAUGUCAACUAGUUGUUGGGGACUUCAUUUCCUUAGUAACGUAGCUAACGCGUGAAGUUGACCGCCUGGGGAGUACGGUCGCAAGAUUAAAACUUAAA